UACAGAGGGGGCAAGCGUUGUUCGGAAUUACUGGGCGUAAAGGGCGCGUAGGCGGCCUGCUAAGUCGAACGUGAAAUCCCUGGGCUCAACCCAGGAACUGCGUCCGAUACUGGUUGGCUUGAAUCCGGGAGAGGGACGUGGAAUUCCAGGUGUAGCGGUGAAAUGCGUAGAUAUCGUAAGGAAGACCAGUGGCGAAGGCGGGUCUCUGGACAGUUCCUGACGCUGAGGCACGAAGGUCAGGGGAGCAAACGGG
Molecule: ribosomal RNA, 253 nt
Filed under: uncultured bacterium
Lineage: Bacteria
Description: partial 16S ribosomal RNA
Rfam family: Bacterial small subunit ribosomal RNA
Source: RNAcentral